UGAAGGUUUCUUUUUUGGAGAUCUCUGCCUACCUGAAGCUUUCUGAAGUGAAGAACUCCUGAGAAGUGGGAAGCAGUUAAAACUAGGGGAGAAGAGUAAGCUCACAUCCCUCCACUCAGUCACCUAAGAAAUAUUUUGGAAGCUUCCUGGACCAGAAGUGAACAUGUCACUGAAGUUGCCCUUUCCAACUUUCCUUUUUUUAACCCUAGAGAGUAUGGUUACAGCCCGUUUUAAUACCCCCCGUUAUGCCUGCAUGGGAGCUCUCCCUUGAUUGCGUGCGUGUUUUUUAUCCCUAGCGGAAGGGGAUGAUUUACUAGGUGUAAUUUCUCAGAGGAACUCUCAAUGCAAUGGGAGCAGCAGGGCAGAAAUAAGUUCAAAGUACCUCUGUAGACAGAUAAGGGUGCUGUCAGUAGGUAGGGAGGGAGCCAGAUAGGUCAGUGCCCCGAGUAGUGCGUUAAAACGUUACCUUUGGGAGUCAGAGCCCUGCUGCACGUUGCUGCGGCUGCGCUGCCACCUGGCGCUGCUUCCUGAGAUUACAGCCUCUCUUCGGCAGCGAGUUUGUGUGAAACAAGCGCCAAAGGACAGUGGGAAGACGCUGUUGCAGAAGCUUCGACUUGGUUGGGUUAUUACAUAAAUAGAUGCGAAUAUGACAGCGCGUGUGUGUAGGGUCAGGAGCAGUUCAGGGGGCGUGCUGAGUAACGGGAACGGACAAGGGCUGUUGGUCAGUUGUCACAGCCACAAGCAGAGUGCUUCGCAUUAGAUGUGAAAUGGAAAUAAAUAGUUAAAUCCAGCUCUCCAGCGCGCAGUGCUCCGAUCCUCGCAGCUGAGCCUCUGCUAACAGCACAGAGCUUAAAGAAUUGUUCGUUUUUCGUUGCUUUCUGGAGCUUUGUUGGGUUUGUACCUCCCUCAAACGCUUCAGUCCCCCAACACCUGAGAUUUUCUUUUUUUUUGUGCCGUCCUUAAAGAUGUCAGCUCGGUCCCGUAAGGGAAAGCAGCUCAGUGACACACCUGAGGAACGCUCCCGCCGCUCCGGACUACGUUUCCCAUGGUGCUCUGGGGCCGCCCCGCCGCGCCAUUGGCCGAGACGGCCGGAAGGGGCGGUGCGGGGACGGCCGCGGUCCGGCGGGCGGCAGCCGUGCGGGUCUGUGCGGAGCGACCGUCCCGAUGGCAGCGCUGAAGUACGCGGGGCUGGAGGACACGGAUAGCGAG
Non-coding RNA from Meleagris gallopavo (turkey), 1209 nucleotides. The record is from RefSeq and is a predicted model, not a curated record. Lineage: Eukaryota; Metazoa; Chordata; Aves; Galliformes; Phasianidae.